This is a long non-coding RNA of Cyanistes caeruleus (blue tit), 2288 nucleotides long. NCBI's taxonomy places the organism in Eukaryota, Metazoa, Chordata, Aves, Passeriformes, Paridae. The record is from Ensembl.
CAUCCCAUCCCAUCCCAUCCCAUCCCAUCCCACUCAUCCCAUCCCAUGGACUGGCUCCACCUCAUCAGGGUGUGGUGAUUAAAUCAGAGACCGAGCUCCUGAUGGCCCAGGUUUAUCCAGGCCCACCUGGAAUAACAAAUCCCACUGCCUCGUGCCACUACUUCCUUCACAUCAUUCUUCAGGCACAAUUUUUAAGCAUUUUCUUGAUUCUUGAGCACAAAGGACUAAUCUUUGGUAAAAAAAAGCUAUAAAAAUUUAUCCCAAAAGCACAAGGGGGACCCUGCAGGGCAGUGGGUUGUUAUGGAUACACAACACAUCCCCCAGCCCACAGCCCUGGUGGGAUCCCUCUCCAGAUCCAUCAGAAUAGCGGGAAUGACUUCAGCAGCUUUUCUCUCACUCACAUUGUUGGAACAAAGCCCCUGAGUUGGAAUAAAGUCCUGAAGAGCCCCCUUGGAGCUGCAGCUUUUGUAGCACGGGCUGAGUGUGCACGCAGGGCUGGUUAUUCUCCUCUGUAAUUGAUGUAAUUCUCUAACCUGUUUAAUUCAUCCAGGGGUGUCAGGAACUGGCUGCAGCUCUGCAUUCCCUGGAUGCACAUCCUGUGCUUGCUCUCUGCUCGCCCCAUGGCACAGCCAGGGUUUCACUGAAACCUGAAUAUCAGAGCAAAGUGAUCCUGCUGCAAAUCCUGAGCCUCUGCCAGCCCUUCCUUUCCUUGGCACUGCGCCUGAAAUUGAGGACUUGAGAGUUCAGCACCUGCAGCUCUGUGAAACCAUGGGGAGUCUCAGUGGAGAGAAGGAAGUGCAGUGAGUGGUUCUGGGAACAGACUGAACCCAGGGAGAGCAAGGGCAGCACCUGGGCUCUGCCCCAACCCAUCCCUGAGCAGGGCCUGGAUCCUGCCAGAGCUCACACUCACCUGAGGAAAACAUUCCUGACUCCCCUGGAUCCUGCCAGAGCUCACACUCACCUGAGGAAAACAUUCCUGACUCCCCUGGAUCCUGCCAGAGCUCACACUCACCUGAGGAAGACUUUCCUGGCUCCAUCCCUUGAGGCCACUGACCCAAGUCCAGCCCAGCCACCCAAACCAAGAGAAGAACUGAGCAGGGUGAGGGACCCACGGGCUCAUUUUAAUGCUGAGUGGGGAUGGGAGGUGCUGGGGGUGGCCAGAUGGGCUGGAAGGUGUGGAUGGAUGGGGAUGGAAGGGUUUGGGGAACAAACAGAGGGAGGAGAACCUUGUUUGGGGCGGUCACAACUUUUGGGGAUGAUCCUUGUGAAUAAACAUACCCCUCUGUGACUUUAAUUAGUGAUCUAACUUUAGUUAGUGAUCUUUGUCCGUGAUCAUAUCGGUUUUUAACGAUUCAAGGGAAGGAGGAGUGGAAUUCAACCCCAGCACAGGGCUCAGGCUGCCAGCCCUCCUCAGAGAAGCUGUUUCCAUCUUCAAAAGGCAGAAAAAAUCCUUCCUGAAACUCCCUCCCUCUACAAAGAAAGGGGAUACAGGAUUUUACACUGGAAGUUUUAUUUAUUUCCAGGGAUGGGGCAGCCACAGCUUCUCUGGACAAGCUCUGCCAGGGCCUCACCACCCUCAGAGCCAAGAAUUCCUUUGAUAGAAAAGAUUCCUUCUUUUCAAAGACUUGCAAAUAUUUUACACACACCAUUGCCCUUUCCCCUUCCACACUCCACAGCUCCAAGUGGUGUUUGAUUUUUUCAGUAAUACGACUUAAUACUCGAGCUCAAUGGUCGGGUUUUUUUUUUUCCAAGUCAUGUAAUCCCCUCAGCUUAGCUAUUUAAUUAAAAAAAAAAAAGAGAAGAAAGCAAAUAUCUGAGCUGCAAAAGGUUACAGACUGCAGUGACUCCGUGUGGAGAUGGUGCUGCCUUGGGAGGAGCAGGGAAUUCUCUGUGCCACUGACUGGAAAUGUUCCUCCUCCUGCUCCCCCUUCCUGUGAGGGAAAAGGACUUGGGGGGAAAACUCAGAGCAGCUGAAACAUCCAAACAGCAGCUGGGAGCCUGGGGGUCUGGGAGUGGGGAAAACACCACAGAUUUAUGGGAAAACCACAGAUUUUAUAGGGAUAGCUACAGAUUUCUGGAAAAGCCACAGAUUUUAUGGGGAUAGCUACAGAUUUAUGGGAAAUAUAUCUGGAUUUAUUUUCCAUAAAUCCACAGAUUUGUGGGGAUAGACAGAGAUUUCUGGAAAAGCCACAGAUUUCUGGAAAAGCCACGGAUUUUAUAGGGGUAGCCACAGAUUUAUGGGGGAAGCCACAGAUUUAUGGAAAAGCCACAGAUUUUAUAGGGAUUGC